RNAcentral lists this ribosomal RNA (460 nucleotides) under uncultured bacterium. RNAcentral's name for it is "partial 16S ribosomal RNA". It matches the Rfam family "Bacterial small subunit ribosomal RNA", at positions 338 to 795 of the family's 1533-position model. The record is from RNAcentral.
CCUACGGGAGGCAGCAGUGAGGAAUAUUGCUCAAUGGCCGUAAGGCUGAACCAGCCACGUCGCGUGAAUGAAGAAGGAUCUCUGGUUUGUAAACUUCUUUUAUAGGGGAAUAAAGGUAUCCACGUGUGGAUAUUUGCAUGUACCCUAUGAAUAAGCAUCGGAUAACUCCGUGCCAGCAGCCGCGGUAAUACGGAGGAGGCGAGCGUUAUCCGGAUUUAUUGGGUUUAAAGGGAGCGUAGGUUGUUUUUUAAGUCAGGGGUGAAAGUUUGUGGCUCAACCAUAAAAUUGCCGUUGAAACUGGAAGACUGGAGUGUGGUGGAGGUAGGCGGAAUGCGUGGUGUAGCGGUGAAAUGCAUAGAUAUCACGAAGAACUCCGAUUGCGAAGGCAGCUUACUAAGCCAUAACUGACACUGAGGCACGAAAGCGUGGGGAGCAAACAGGAUUAGAUACCCCUGUAGUC